GUCGCGGUGGAGAUAGGGCGCGGCCACGGUGAGAUCCAGAAGCUCAAGGUUUGGGAUGGCUAGGGCUCGGUCUCGCUAAUUAGAUGCAAAGACGGAGCCGCGGGGUGAGGAAGAAGCUUUAUAGGGGUACGGGGAAGGCAUAUCCCGCCCAAAGCGGGAUCGGGGGGAAUUUCCUUCGGCUGCCAGAAACCGACUCGACUACGGCAAGGGAGGAAGAAACGGCGCCUGCUGACAUGCGGGGCCCGAGCGUCAGAGAGAGAGAGAGGCGGGCCCACUGAUAGUGGCAGCAAGCAGGGAGGGGAGGGCGCGCUGCGGCCUGGGCUGAGCGCGUGCGGGGUCGGGGAAAGGAACUGGGCCGCGCAAGGGGUGAGGGGGGGUUUGGCUGGGGUUUUCUUUUCUUUUUUUCUUUUCUGUUUUCUUUUCCAAAAAAACCUUUUCCAAAUAAAAAUCUUGAAUGCAAAUAAAUUCAAGCCAGAGGCAAACAAUACAAAAUAACAUAUCCUUCAUCAUGAAUGCAUAAACAAGUUCCUAAACUUAGGAUAAAUUUUAAUUUUGACCAAAAAUAUUUUAUUUACUAGAUUAAAUGCCCACAAAAAUUGCUUAAAUAAUUCUCAUUAAAUCCUAUUAAUUCAAAAGCAAAUUUUUGGGUGUUACAAAUUCUACCCCCUUAAAAGAAUCUCGUCCUCGAGAUUGAGCAGUGCAUAAACAAACAGUUGUGGAUAUGAUUCUCUCCAAUCAUCCUCUCUUCCCCAAGUUGCUUCUGCCUCUAAAAACCGAUUCCAUUGCACUAGCAAACUCAUGUCUCUAGUCAAGUAACAUACCUGGUAACUUAUCUGAAAAUUUAUUCCCUACACAGUCCUGAAGAUCAACACCAUCAUCCAGCUGAUUCACUAUAGCUGUGGGUGGAUCCUGCACUGCUACAUCCACACUAAUUCUCUCUCCCUUGGGUGUUGUCACAACUACUACUUUCUCUUUGCACUUAAUUUCCGUAGCAUAUUUCUUCAUCCAAUCCAAACCCAAUAUCACAUCUAUGCCUGAAGUUCUCAUAACCAUGGGACUAACUGGGAAAUCUACCCCCCUUAAAGAGAGACUUGCUGAGGGGCAACAAUAUGAAACUAGUAUAGUCCCUCCCGGUGAGUUUACUAGCAUAUGAGUUUUCAUGACAACUAGUGGAAUGCUAUGAACUCUAACAAAUGCGUGUGAUAUGAAUGUAUGCGAAGCUCCAGAAUCAAAUAAAACUGUAGCGGGAAUAGAGUUGAUACUGAACGUACCCAUCAUGAUUUCUGGUCCUUCCUGUACUGUCUCUGCAGCCACAUGGUUCACAUUUGCUCCAUGAGAAUUAGACUUUUGAUUGUUGUUCUGCUGGUUGAACCUCUCCGGACAAUCAUAUGACAUAUGACCUUCUUUUCCACAGCGAAAACACCUAGUAGGGGUAUUGGGAGCACUUCUCUUCAUAGAGGUGGCAUUUGAAUUUCCUGAGCGGGGAAUCUGCUGACCACUCUGCUGUUGAUUAGGAUUACGCUGAGGUUGUUGGUUGCGAUCCCAUUGACCAACCGGUCCCUGGUACCUCUGUUGAUCGCCCUGCUGAGAAUUGAAACGUUGGCGGUUGUUGCCUCCAGAACUUUGUGCUAGCAUCCUCCUCUUCUUGUCCUGACCUUUGCACAUGUUAUCCAAUACAAUAGCACGAUUCACCAGAGCUUGGAAGGUAGGAUAAGUAUUUCCAGCCAACUGCAACCUAAGUUCAUAGUAAAGACCUUUCAUGAAGAUACGUUGCUUAUCCGCAUCUUCUCUGACUUCAUUUGGGGCAUAGCGAGCCAACUGCUCAAACAUGUCAUAAUACUCAGCCACAGACAUAGAACCCAUCCUGAGAGAUCUGAAUUCUUCCUGCUUGAGCUCCAUCAUUCCCUCAUUGAUGUGUCGUGCUCGGAAAUCUCUGUAAAAUUCCAUCCAAGUGACAGGAGGAGCAUUGUUGGGACGAGCAGCUUGAUACGACUCCCACCAUGUCUGAGCUGCACCUUGAAGUUGUCCAGAAGCAUACAACACUUUUUCCAUAUCAUUGCACUGGGCUAUGUUCAGUUGUCUCUCUACAGCACGAAGCCAAUCAUCUGCCUCCAUAGGAUCAGCUGAGUGUGUAAACACCAGAGGUCUUCCCUUCAUAAAUUCGCCACGCUUAUCUCUCACGUGAACAGGUGGCGGCGGUGGUGGAGGUUGCUGUUGUAGGUGCUGCAUGAAAACGUGCAUCAUCUCAUUCUGAGUCUGCAUGAGCUCUUCCACGGUAAUUAGAUCACUGGCACCCAUGCCACAGCCUCUGCCUCUGCCUCUUCCCCUUGCUGCCAUCUGCAUUCCAAGGUAUAGAAACAUGUCUUAGUAAUGUCCAACAUGACAAUUACAAGAGGUAACAGAAUCUGAAAUUUUCUGGGUAACAUCCAACAUCAGUAGAUCAGAAAAUCUGUAAUAUCUCGAGUUCUAGAAUUCAAAAGGAUACAUGCUGUACACCGUUGGAAAGAUAAAGAAGUUAUCUACAACUUUUAUUCAGAUCAUAUUAACAGAUUCUGUCGUUGAAUUAGUCAAAACUGGUCAUAACCAAAACUGUUCUAGAAUUCCAGACUGCACAGAAACCUCAACUUUGAACAGCCAUAACUCACAGCUCAUAACAGAUAAUAAUAUCAUUCUUGCGGCAUUGGAAAGACAUGAAAGUCCACUUGUUCUCAGAAAAAUUUGACGAGCAUUGCACGAACAGAUUUUGAGAGGUACCAGAUUCAUUGUAGACUGCUCCCGAAAACAGCAAAGGACAGAAACAGAAUUUUAACCAAACCCAAUUAUUUAGUUCAUUAAUCCUUAUGCCUUAGGCCUAUAGACUAAAUGAAAUUAUAGAGAAAAUCCACAAGAUCAUUACACUCAUUACAAAGAUCCAUAUCAAGCAUAAGCAUAAUAACAAACCAAACCAAGCAUCAAAGGUUCACACUUCAAGCAUUAACUCAACUUGCGGUACUAUCGUUCUCUUCCUAUUAUGGGAAAAGAUCCUAUAACUACUAUUUCAAAGACGCCAGAAAGUGGUAAGAAGAGGUUCUAAAAGCAUUUGAAGCAAGGAGUAGGGAUGAGAACAAGUCUUUAAAAUAAGCAACAAGGUGAAGAUGAAUAGCAAUGGAAAGGAUAUAGUAUAAGAGAAAAUAUCAAGGUUUAUAGAACAAGAAUUUUAUAACAAUUUCAAACCCUUAAGACGGCCAAUUUCUAACUAGGCUUGCGUCCGACAGUCAACAAAGCUUUGAUACCAAUUUGUCACACCCAUAUUUUGAGAACAAAAUAGGAUGCAUAAAAGACUCAUAUGUGCCCCAGAAACAGUCGCACACAUAAGUAGACAAAUGUCAAAUGUACCAUUGCAGUGUUUAUUACAUAGCGGAACAGUAAUAAAUCACAUAGUCUCAUACAAAUAUGAUAUCAUAAAGUAAACAACGCUCUCGAUGGAAGCUCCACACAGGGACACUGUUGACUGGUUGACUUCAAACCUAGUACUCAUGGCGAUAAUCCUCAUUCCAAUCAUCAUCAUUAGCAUAACCUAGGGUGUUGGGAAAUUGCAAGAGUGAGCACAUAUCGUACUCAACAAGUAUGACCAGGGGUUCAUGAGGCUCAAAUAGCUGACACUGGUUUGACUGCAUUUAGCUUUUAAUGGUGGAUAGCAUGCUCAUUAAUUAAUAGCAAAUGUCAAGGUAAUAGAAAUAAUCCAUUAAUCACAUGAUCAAGUGUAAGCAUAAUUAAUUCAUAGCAUAAACGAUAAUCGAAUGAACAUAACAACUUAACAAGCUCAUCGUCGUCGCAGCAAGAACCCCCAAGGCCGCUCAUAACCGUGAGCACGGCUAGUAUACCAGUUUUAACACUCUGCAGAGGUUGUACAUAUUUACCCAUGAGUCAUGAAUUACCCUUUCGCCCGAGGUAGCUAAUCUCUUAACCUCCUUCCUAGGGAGGUUGGCAGGGAUCACUAUAAAGCCUUUUAAAAGUUCGUCUAACAUGUUAGGGCCGUAAGGUUUCCUUUGCACACAGAUAUAGAUACCUCCCUUCCGAAUGGCAUAAUGACGCGCAGCCUAUACACAUAGGGACAGGGACUCGCACUAUACCCAAAACGGUUCAGCCCCUCCGCCCUUUCGGGUAACCUCUAACAAGCUAGAAAAGGUCUUCAUACUGAGCUAAAGCCAGAGCCAUUAUAGCCCUCAUGGUUGCACUGUUGUCCCGGUGAUCACUUACAGACAAGAUCUCAUAUAGUUAUUUGCCAUCAUUUAACGUUCAUUGCAUAGCUAUUAAUCAUCUUACAAGAUCAUGGAUUAUAUCAAGCACUAGCACAUCUACACCAAAUGCAUAUCAAGUAGAUAGCAAGGAAUCCAGGUAACAAUCAUCUAUGAUUUCGCUAAGGUCGACAAGGUGAUAGCAUGCAUAUGAUAUAUAUGUGUAGUUAUAAGUGAAUAGGUAACAAGGAUGAUCCCAAGUUAUACUUGCCUUGAUCAAAGCUCUCCUGAGCCUGCUUCUGGUCUUCAAAAGAUUGACCUUGAUCACCAACGUAUCGCUCACCGUCUAUACCUGAUCAUCAAUCAACAACACGCAAUCCAAUGUAAACAAUCAUACACGAACCAAACAAGCUAUAAUUAGAACAAUACACCAAACAGUGGUAAAACAAAUAUAAAAAUUUAUCAAAACAUCCCACGCAGCGCUACGAUCACACAAACGUAGAGUUCACAAAAAUCGGAAUUAAAACGUAGAAGAUAUGAAUUUUCUAAGAUUUCCUAUAGAGAAAUAAUUAAUUAAAGGCUACUGCAGAAUUAAAAAGUUUCAAAACAGUAAACUAAUACUUCUAACAUGUAGAGCUUGUAAAUAUGAAUCUAACGAAAUUUGAAUGGACAAAAACGGACUUAAAACGAAUAUUUUAUAAGCAAUUUAAUUUCAGUGGCAAUUCUGUAAUUAUUGGAAAGCGCAUUUUGCUCAAACCGGCCAGGUUUACGUUUUCGGAAUUGGAAUACAGGUUUCUGCUCAGGGCGCCAGGGACCGUGGAGUAAUUAGUAAAAUACUUCAAGGACUCUUUAUGAAGAUUCACUGCGAAAAGGUAUCUUCUAAUCCUAUCCGUUAGUCUUCGAUCGAACGGUCCUGAUCCAGCAGGGGGGCGCACGCGGCCUACCGGCCGGCUCACCACUCCGGCGCGGUGGUGCGCCAUGGGUGCCGCCGUGAGGCUCGUCGGCGUCCUCGGUUCUCUCGCUCCCGUGCACCAAAACUCAAGCCAAGCGCAUGGGGAUAAAGAGGAGAGAGAGGCGAGCUCACCCAGGGGUCUCUCUCGGGCCGCGAACAAGCUGAGAGAUCGGGUCGCGGUGGAGAUAGGGCGCGGCCACGGUGAGAUCCAGAAGCUCAAGGUUUGGGAUGGCUAGGGCUCGGUCUCACUAAUUAGAUGCAAAGAGGGAGGCGCGGGGUGAGGAAGAAGCUUUAUAGGGGUAGGGGGAAGGCAUGUCCCGCCCAAAGCGGGAUCGGGGGGAAUUUCCUUCGGCUGCCAGAGACUGACUCGACUACGGCAAGGGAGGAAGAAACGGUGCCUGCUGACAUGCGGGGCCCGAGCGUCAGAGAGAGAGGGGCGGGGCCCGGCUGUUAGUGGCACCAAGCAGGGAGGAGAGGGCGCGCUGCGGCCUGGGCUGAGCGCGUGCGGGGCCGGGGAAAGGAGGGUUCGGCGGGGGUUUUCUUUUCUUUUUUUUUCUUUUCUGUUUUCUUUUCCAAAAAAAACCUUUUCCAAAUAAAAAUCUUGAAUGCAAAUAAAUUCAAGCCAGAGGCAAACAAUACAAAAUAACAUAUCCUUCAGCGUGAAUGCAUAAACAUGUUCCUAAACUUUGGAUAAAUUUUAAUUUUGACCAAAAAUAUUUUAUUUACUAGAUUAAAUGCCCACAAAAAUUUCUUAAAUAAUUCUCAUUAAAUCCUAUUAAUUCAAAAGCAAAUUUUUGGGUGUUACAAAUCUCCUUGCGUGCUUCGACGGAGUCACAAGCCACCAAGCA
RNAcentral lists this long non-coding RNA (6017 nucleotides) under Sorghum bicolor (sorghum). RNAcentral describes it as "long non-coding RNA (SBIC_LNC004735)". The record is from RNAcentral. Lineage: Eukaryota; Viridiplantae; Streptophyta; Magnoliopsida; Poales; Poaceae.